AUUGAACGCUGGCGGCAGGCCUAACACAUGCAAGUCGAACGGUAACAGGAAACAGCUUGCUGUUUCGCUGACGAGUGGCGGACGGGUGAGUAAUGUCUGGGAAACUGCCUGAUGGAGGGGGAUAACUACUGGAAACGGUAGCUAAUACCGCAUAACGUCGCAAGACCAAAGAGGGGGACCUUCGGGCCUCUUGCCAUCGGAUGUGCCCAGAUGGGAUUAGCUAGUAGGUGGGGUAACGGCUCACCUAGGCGACGAUCCCUAGCUGGUCUGAGAGGAUGACCAGCCACACUGGAACUGAGACACGGUCCAGACUCCUACGGGAGGCAGCAGUGGGGAAUAUUGCACAAUGGGCGCAAGCCUGAUGCAGCCAUGCCGCGUGUAUGAAGAAGGCCUUCGGGUUGUAAAGUACUUUCAGCGGGGAUGAAGGGAGUAAAGUUAAUACCUUUGCUCAUUGACGGUACCCGCAGAAGAAGCACCGGCUAACUCCGUG
RNAcentral lists this ribosomal RNA (490 nucleotides) under uncultured bacterium. Its description in RNAcentral is "partial 16S ribosomal RNA". It matches the Rfam family "Bacterial small subunit ribosomal RNA", at positions 30 to 507 of the family's 1533-position model. The record is from RNAcentral.